GGGAAAUUUCUUAUUGGAGAAAAUUAUGGCUGCAACUGUGGAGGAAAAUAAGGCAGUGAUUCCAAUUUGACAAAAAUCACGGAAAACGAGCUUAAUGGUUCUAGUUACUUAGAGUGGAGCAACAGAGUCCACAUUUAUCAGCAAAGUACUGACAAAGACAUCGCCUUUCAAGUGAUCCACCCAUUGAUGACAUGAGACAAACGUUACUGAGGGAGGAUGCUUGGUUAUUCUUACAGUUUUG
Molecule: unclassified non-coding RNA, 241 nt
Filed under: Hevea brasiliensis (rubber tree)
Lineage: Eukaryota; Viridiplantae; Streptophyta; Magnoliopsida; Malpighiales; Euphorbiaceae
Source: RNAcentral